CAACUUCCACUGGCUUACCUCCNUCAUUUAUGCGUCAUGACUUGUAUCGUCUUGAGCGUAUUGUGGGUUUCCUGUGUUGCAUACCUUUCUAAUGGUAUCGUGUUGAUUGAUCGAAGUCCCUUUUCAUCUUGUGUUGCUUUUUGCGACGCAUGAUGAACCUUGAGGCGGUCUCUAUGUUCCACCAUGUUGAUGCUACUGUUUCGAUGUUGUGGCCCAUUGAGCGUUGCUUGGUUUUGUGGAUACAGAACAUGAUUUGGGCAUAGGGUUACUUGUGACUCUUGUUCUGUCCUUUAUCAGUGUUCUUUAUAACGACGGUUCAUGCGCGCCUAGGCUCGUACCUGCGCGAUGUUCUUUGUCGAAGAGGAAUGCUACCUGGUUGAUCCUGCCAGUAGUCAUAUGCUUGUCUCAAAGAUUAAGCCAUGCAUGUGUAAGU
RNAcentral lists this unclassified non-coding RNA (433 nucleotides) under Senecio glaucophyllus subsp. toa. Its description in RNAcentral is "partial contains external transcribed spacer and 18S ribosomal RNA". The stretch from base 370 to 433 matches the Rfam family "Eukaryotic small subunit ribosomal RNA", at positions 1 to 64 of the family's 1831-position model. The record is from RNAcentral. Lineage: Eukaryota; Viridiplantae; Streptophyta; Magnoliopsida; Asterales; Asteraceae.